RNAcentral lists this ribosomal RNA (399 nucleotides) under uncultured bacterium. Its description in RNAcentral is "bacterial SSU rRNA". It matches the Rfam family "Bacterial small subunit ribosomal RNA", at positions 28 to 416 of the family's 1533-position model. The record is from RNAcentral.
GACGAACGCUGGCGGCGUGCCUAAUACAUGCAAGUCGAGCGAACACAAGAGGAGCUUGCUCCUCUUGGUUAGCGGCGGACGGGUGAGUAACACGUGGGCAACCUGCCUGUAAGACUGGGAUAACUUCGGGAAACCGGAGCUAAUACCGGAUAAUCCUUUUCCUCUCAUGAGGAAAAGCUGAAAGUCGGUUUUUCGCUGACACUUACAGAUGGGCCCGCGGCGCAUUAGCAGUUGGUGAGGUAACGGCUCACCAAGGCAACGAUGCGUAGCCGACCUGAGAGGGUGAUCGGCCACACUGGGACUGAGACACGGCCCAGACUCCUACGGGAGGCAGCAGCAGGGAAUCUUCCGCAAUGGACGAAAGUCUGACGGAGCAACGCCGCGUGAGCGAUGAAGGCC